This 257-nucleotide ribosomal RNA is filed under the name uncultured prokaryote. Its description in RNAcentral is "partial 16S ribosomal RNA". It matches the Rfam family "Bacterial small subunit ribosomal RNA", at positions 524 to 780 of the family's 1533-position model. The record is from RNAcentral.
UACGUAGGGGGCUAGCGUUAUCCGGAUUUACUGGGCGUAAAGGGUGCGUAGGCGGACUAUUAAGUCAGUGGUGAAAGCCUGCAGCUUAACUGCAGAACUGCCAUUGAUACUGAUAGUCUUGAGUUUGGUUAAGGUAGGCGGAAUGUGUAAUGUAGCGGUGAAAUGCUUAGAUAUUACACAGAACACCAAUUGCGUAGGCAGCUUACUGAGCCGACACUGACGCUGAGGCACGAAAGCGUGGGGAUCAAACAGGAUUA